This 112-nucleotide small nuclear RNA is filed under the name Aureobasidium pullulans EXF-150. RNAcentral describes it as "U5 spliceosomal RNA". It matches the Rfam family "U5 spliceosomal RNA". Rfam says of the family: U5 RNA is a component of both types of known spliceosome. The record is from Rfam by way of RNAcentral. Lineage: Eukaryota; Fungi; Ascomycota; Dothideomycetes; Dothideales; Saccotheciaceae.
AGCACUGCUCUUCCGUUAUUCUGACUUCGAAUUUGCCUUUUACCAAUUCAAACAGGGAUGGAGAGCAAAGACAGUGCCUACUCAAAUCUUUGGAACACACCUGAUCGUUUGA